CACCCUGUACUUUCCUAUCUUAACGGUGUUCCUCAGCUCUCUGACUUAAGUCACACAAACAAAGAAAAAUGCCAGAAGAAGUUCCUGCUCAGUGCAAGGUUUCCAAAGAUGAGCUGGACAAAUGUGUUCAGGGGAAAGGCGCAGAGGGCUGUAAAGAGCUGCUGGAAGCCUUUGAGGCGUGCGUGAAGGGGGCCACGGCGGCCUCGUGAGGGGGACAUCAUUUUACAUGUCCUUCCUUUCUGGGUCCUCCAGUGUCCUUGCAUUCCCUCACAUUGUACUGGACUGAACCAUUUUGAGGACAGUGAAAGGGGUGCAAGUCCUGGAAAGCACUGGAACUGUUUAGUUUGAUCCCGAGAAGUCUUCUCGGUGUCCCUCAUGUCGUCCAUGUUAUUUGUAACUGUGAAAGAAAGAAGAACCCAGUUUUUAUUUUUGUUCAGAUUCACACUGUGAAAAAAGCAUAAUGCAUUUAAUCUGAUUUUGAAUAAAUGACUAUAAUUGUUUCUUUAUUUUGCCAUUACUCUCACACACUCAGAGGUAUAACAGGGAUAAGAUAACUGACACUAAAUGUCUGAACUGUAUGUGAUUGAUUUACCUUGAACUGGAGUGGUCUGCUUACUUGAUAACUCAUGCCAAGUACACUGCAGUGCUGCUCAUUCAGUGUAAGUGCCACUGACUGUCAGCACUAUCUAUUGAAGAAAUUCUAAAGGUGCUGACAAAACAAAUUAUCAUGCUGUUGCCAUGUAGUUUUUAUGGUAUACUGCUAGCCAGGACCUUCGUAAAAUUAGAAAAAGAUUCACUAAAAAACUGCAUUUUGUAUAACUGUGUUGACGCAUCAUGGUUGUGACAGCACAAUUACGUAAAAUAAAAAUAAUAAACCCAUCA
Molecule: long non-coding RNA, 882 nt
Organism: Pimephales promelas (fathead minnow)
Lineage: Eukaryota; Metazoa; Chordata; Actinopteri; Cypriniformes; Leuciscidae
Source: RefSeq, a predicted model, not a curated record